This 20-nucleotide transfer RNA is filed under the name Phyllobates terribilis. RNAcentral's name for it is "partial tRNA-Phe". Lineage: Eukaryota; Metazoa; Chordata; Amphibia; Anura; Dendrobatidae. The record is from RNAcentral.
GGCCUAAAGCCUUUAUCACA